Carassius auratus (goldfish) is the source of this 726-nucleotide long non-coding RNA. RefSeq lists it as uncharacterized. The transcript has 4 exons. Lineage: Eukaryota; Metazoa; Chordata; Actinopteri; Cypriniformes; Cyprinidae. The record is from RefSeq and is a predicted model, not a curated record.
ACGCCCCUUCAAACAGAGCAUUCCAGUCAGAGGGCUAAAAUCGGGACAUAAAAAUGCCUUUUAUUUCUAAAUUUUAACAAUACAAGUACACAUCAGGAAACAUAAAAAAAGCAUUUAAAAACGAAAAUAAUCCAUGUCAUGGGGACCUUUAAGAGAAGAGACGGUUUCUCGGAAGAGAAGUUCAUCAGUCGAGGUGGAGCGUUGACUUUGUCGAGUCAUCCAGUUUAGCGGAAAAUUCACUGGUAACAACAACAACAAAGAAGAAAGACCAAAAAUAUAAUUCUACAGAAGAUGAUGGCUGUGGUGAAACAAGUGCUCAAAUAAUGGAACUAAGACCUGUGGGAGAUCUUCAGACAUGAAGAGAUUGAGAAGUUAAACAAAAUCAAAGAAGAUUUUCAAUAUUAGUGCCAAUUCGGUAUGAAAACAGAUAGAGUGAAAGCUGAGUGGAAAGCAGGAGGAUGAUUAUAAGGACAGACAAUAAGAGCAGCACAGCUGACACUGCAGCACCAAUGACAGGAAGCAGAGAGGCUGAAAGAGACACAUGUUUGAGUUAAACUUCCAUUACCAGCAGUUCAACAUGUUUUUAGACUCUUAUACAUCAUUACCUGUGAUAGUGAUGAGCAGCAGUUCAGAGUCAGAUGAACGGAAGGAGCGUGAGGAGACACUGACUUCAUAAACACAACUGUAGUUUCCCUCGUGUGAAUAAUCUGCUUCAGGAAAGAAGAA